AGUGAACGCUGGCGGUAGGCCUAACACAUGCAAGUCGAACGGCAGCACAGUAAGAGCUUGCUCUUACGGGUGGCGAGUGGCGGACGGGUGAGGAAUACAUCGGAAUCUACUUUUUCGUGGGGGAUAACGUAGGGAAACUUACGCUAAUACCGCAUACGACCUACGGGUGAAAGCAGGGGAUCUUCGGACCUUGUGCGAUUGAAUGAGCCGAUGUCGGAUUAGCUAGUUGGCGGGGUAAAGGCCCACCAAGGCGACGAUCCGUAGCUGGUCUGAGAGGAUGAUCAGCCACACUGGAACUGAGACACGGUCCAGACUCCUACGGGAGGCAGCAGUGGGGAAUAUUGGACAAUGGGCGCAAGCCUGAUCCAGCCAGACCGCGUGGGUGAAGAAGGCCUUCGGGUUGUAAAGCCCUUUUGUUGGGAAAGAAAAGCAGCAGGUUAAUACCCCGCUGUUCUGACGGUACCCAAAGAAUAAGCACCGGCUAACUUCGU
RNAcentral lists this ribosomal RNA (491 nucleotides) under uncultured bacterium. RNAcentral's name for it is "partial 16S ribosomal RNA". It matches the Rfam family "Bacterial small subunit ribosomal RNA", at positions 29 to 506 of the family's 1533-position model. The record is from RNAcentral.